This 92-nucleotide microRNA precursor is filed under the name Cynara cardunculus (cardoon). Its description in RNAcentral is "miR395b stem-loop (cca-MIR395b)". Its record names the gene cca-MIR395b. It matches the Rfam family "mir-395 microRNA precursor family". From Rfam's summary of the family: mir-395 was identified in both Arabidopsis thaliana and Oryza sativa computationally and was later experimentally verified. mir-395 is thought to target mRNAs coding for ATP sulphurylases. The mature sequence is excised from the 3' arm of the hairpin. The record is from miRBase by way of RNAcentral. Lineage: Eukaryota; Viridiplantae; Streptophyta; Magnoliopsida; Asterales; Asteraceae.
AAGUGUCCCUAUGAGUUCCUUCGAGCACUUCAUUGGGAAGCUUUAUUUAGGAUUUCCUACUGAAGUGUUUGGAGGAACUCUAAGUGCCACUU